Molecule: transfer RNA, 72 nt
Filed under: Ictidomys tridecemlineatus (thirteen-lined ground squirrel)
Lineage: Eukaryota; Metazoa; Chordata; Mammalia; Rodentia; Sciuridae
Description: Spermophilus tridecemlineatus (thirteen-lined ground squirrel) tRNA
Rfam family: tRNA
About the family: Transfer RNA (tRNA) molecules are approximately 80 nucleotides in length. Their secondary structure includes four short double-helical elements and three loops (D, anti-codon, and T loops). Further hydrogen bonds mediate the characteristic L-shaped molecular structure. tRNAs have two regions of fundamental functional importance: the anti-codon, which is responsible for specific mRNA codon recognition, and the 3' end, to which the tRNAs corresponding amino acid is attached (by aminoacyl-tRNA synthetases). tRNAs cope with the degeneracy of the genetic code in two manners: having more than one tRNA (with a specific anti-codon) for a particular amino acid; and 'wobble' base-pairing, i.e. permitting non-standard base-pairing at the 3rd anti-codon position.
Source: Rfam by way of RNAcentral
CUGGGUGUAGCUCAGCAGUAAAGCAUGUGCUCUGUAUACAUAAGGCCCUGGGUUCAAUUCCCAGCAUUCAAA